UAAGAGACUUAGACACUAGUAAUAAUAACUGGGCUUAAGCAUUUUGGGCUGGUGAUUGGGCCCAACGAGUUAUUGUUGCUAGUGGGCUGGGUCGUUAUAUUAACCAUAUUUUAGAGACAUUUUCACAUCUUAUUUAUAGGUUUGAAAGCAAUUAGAAUCAGAUUAGAAUUGAAAAAUCGAGUUUAAAAAAUUUGUGUCAGGUU
This 203-nucleotide long non-coding RNA is filed under the name Ananas comosus (pineapple). Its description in RNAcentral is "long non-coding RNA (ACOM_LNC008787)". Lineage: Eukaryota; Viridiplantae; Streptophyta; Magnoliopsida; Poales; Bromeliaceae. The record is from RNAcentral.